CCCAGACUCCUACGGGAGGCAGCAGUGAGGAAUAUUGGUCAAUGGCCGUAAGGCUGAACCAGCCAAGUAGCGUGAGGGAAGACUGCCCUAUGGGUUGUAAACCUCUUUUAUGCGGGGAUAAAGGUGUCCACGUGUGGAUGUUUGCAGGUACCGCAUGAAUAAGGACCGGCUAAUUCCGUGCCAGCAGCCGCGGUAAUACGGAGGAUCCGAGCGUUAUCCGGAUUUAUUGGGUUUAAAGGGUGCGUAGGCGGCCUUUUAAGUCAGCGGUGAAAGUCUGUGGCUCAACCAUAGAAUUGCCGUUGAAACUGGGGGGCUUGAGUAUGUUUGAGGCAGGCGGAAUGCGUGGUGUAGCGGUGAAAUGCAUAGAUAUCACGCAGAACUCCGAUUGCGAAGGCAGCAUACCGGCGCUCAACUGACGCUGAAGCACGAAGGCGUGGGUAUCGAACAGGAUUAGAUACCCCAGUAU
RNAcentral lists this ribosomal RNA (466 nucleotides) under uncultured bacterium. Its description in RNAcentral is "bacterial SSU rRNA". It matches the Rfam family "Bacterial small subunit ribosomal RNA", at positions 330 to 793 of the family's 1533-position model. The record is from RNAcentral.